This 426-nucleotide unclassified non-coding RNA is filed under the name Orthosiphon incurvus. Its description in RNAcentral is "partial contains external transcribed spacer and small subunit ribosomal RNA". The record is from RNAcentral. Lineage: Eukaryota; Viridiplantae; Streptophyta; Magnoliopsida; Lamiales; Lamiaceae.
AGUGGUGUUUGGCGUGUAUCGGCAUGUCGGAUCCCUGCUCGGGCAGCGACGACGUGCCUUGCACGCCUCUUCAAUCAUCGGCACAAGCACGGGCUUGUCCGGAGUCGGUUCUCCUGUGCUGCAUACCUAUCGCGAGGGCAUUCGGUCGGUUAAAAUUGUCCCAUCUCCGCCCUGUGCUGCUUCUCCAUGCGGGCGAGCGGCGCGGGGCGGAUCCCAUGGCACUCGUCGUGUUUCGAGCCGCAUCCACCUGUAAGGUGUUUGGGUAGACGACCCACGACGUGCUGCCCGUUGCCUCGGGUACGGAACAUCGGGUGGGUACGAGGCCGUCGGCCUCCGAUCACCACACGAAUGCGUUCUACGCUUUAUGCGAACGACGGUCGGCCCGGUCUUCCUCCUUGCACCCGUGCUCGGUUGGAGUCGUGCCGG